RNAcentral lists this non-coding RNA (21 nucleotides) under Arabidopsis thaliana (thale cress). Lineage: Eukaryota; Viridiplantae; Streptophyta; Magnoliopsida; Brassicales; Brassicaceae. The record is from RNAcentral.
CAAGCAGAGCCGAGCAUAGGA